CCAAUAGCGUAUAUUAAAGUUGUUGCAGUUAAAAAGCUCGUAGUUGAAUUUCGGGGUUAGUAGAUUGGUCAUGCCUUUGGUAUGUACUGGUCUUACUGAUUCCUCCUUCCUGAUGAACCGUAAUGCCAUUAAUUUGGUGUUGCGGGGAGACUGGACUGUUACUUUGAAAAAAUUAGAGUGUUUAAAGCAAGCUAACGCUUGAAUACAUUAGCAUGGAAUAAUGAAAUAGGACGUUCGAUCUUAUUUUGUUGGUUUCUAGGAUUGACGUAAUGAUUAAUAGGGAUAGUUGGGGGCAUUAGUAUUCAAUUGUCAGAGGUGAAAUUCUUGGAUUUAUUGAAGACUAACUACUGCGAAAGCAUUUGCCAAGGAUGUUUUCAUUAAUCAAGAACGAAAGUUAGGGGAUCGAAGACGAUCAGAUACCGUCGUAGUCUUAACCAUAAACUAUGCCGACUAGGGAUCGGAUGAUGUUAAUUUUUUAAUGACUCAUUCGGCGCCUUACG
RNAcentral lists this ribosomal RNA (500 nucleotides) under uncultured Glomus. RNAcentral describes it as "SSU rRNA". It matches the Rfam family "Eukaryotic small subunit ribosomal RNA", at positions 591 to 1092 of the family's 1831-position model. The record is from RNAcentral. Lineage: Eukaryota; Fungi; Glomeromycota; Glomeromycetes; Glomerales; Glomeraceae.